UUGGCAUUUCUGGCUUGGCGGUCCUCCUUUCGCAGAUUGGAAACCGCGGGCUAUCCUGCUGGGAGGUUGUGGCCGAGGCAGUAGCUCGCUACUGAUGGCCUCCUGGGGUGGAGAAAAGCGGGGAGGGGCUGAGGGGUCUCCGAAGCUGGCAGUCUACGCCACGAGGAAGACCCGUAGCGUCAGGAGCCAGGAGGACCAGUGGUACUUGGGCUACCCGGGGGACCAGUGGUCUUCGGGCUUCUCCUACAGCUGGUGGAAAAAUAGCGUCGGCAGCGAGAGCAAGCACGGUGAGGGCGCCUUAGACCAGCCCCAGCACGACGUCCGCCUGGAAGAUCUUGGCGAGCUCCACAGAGCUGCCCGGUCGGGCGACGUCCCUGGGGUGGAGCACGUCUUGGCUCCUGGAGACACUGGCGUGGACAAGAGGGAUAGGAAGAAGAGCAUUCAGCAACUAGUUCCUGAAUAUAAGGAAAAACAGACACCUGAAAGUCUUCCUCAAAAUAACAAUCCAGAAUACAGACAUUUAAAAAUACUGUUGGGGCCAGCACAGUGGUGCAUGCCUGUAAUCUCAUCACUUUGGGAGGCUGAGAUGGGAGGAUCACUUGAGCCCAGAAGUUCGAGACCAGCCCAGGCAACAUGACAAGACCUCAUCUCUACUAAAUUUUUUAAAAAACAAUAAAACAUUAGCUGGG
RNAcentral lists this long non-coding RNA (689 nucleotides) under Homo sapiens (human). RNAcentral's name for it is "non-protein coding lnc-TBC1D28-2:2". Lineage: Eukaryota; Metazoa; Chordata; Mammalia; Primates; Hominidae. The record is from RNAcentral.